GGCAACGUGUCCGAGUGGUUAAGGAGUUCGCCUCGAACUAUAACUUUGAGGUAUCAUGUAUACCGCAAGCGAAUGGGCUCUGCCCGCAUAGGUUCAAAUCCUGUCGUUGUCG
Microstroma glucosiphilum is the source of this 112-nucleotide non-coding RNA. The record is from the annotation of a RefSeq genome assembly. NCBI's taxonomy places the organism in Eukaryota, Fungi, Basidiomycota, Exobasidiomycetes, Microstromatales, Microstromataceae.